This is a microRNA precursor of Cyprinus carpio carpio, 79 nucleotides long. Lineage: Eukaryota; Metazoa; Chordata; Actinopteri; Cypriniformes; Cyprinidae. The record is from Ensembl.
UCUUGCUUUAGCAGCAUGUAAAUAUUGGAGUUACUCCUUGGCAAAUGCCUCCAAUAUUGCUCAUGCUGCUGAAGCAAGA